Non-coding RNA from Gasterosteus aculeatus aculeatus (three-spined stickleback), 3622 nucleotides. NCBI's taxonomy places the organism in Eukaryota, Metazoa, Chordata, Actinopteri, Perciformes, Gasterosteidae. The record is from RefSeq and is a predicted model, not a curated record.
GCAGCUUCCUUACCCACAGUGAGGCAGAACUGCAGCACGUGAACGGCUCCCUCCUGCUUCAGGAAGUUCAUGAAGCGAAAGAGGAGAUCCUGCUGCUCCCGGAUAUCCUUCAGCUCCAACUUCAGCACCUGAAGACAAUUGUCCUUGGCCCGGCAGCCGUUCCUCGUUACCCACCGACGGCUUCUUGCUGCUGACGUCGGCGUAUUUCUGUAAAAACGGCACCGAGGGGGACGGAGGAUCGCUGGGCGACUCGGGCUGGAGACACAGAGGAGCGUUAGGACGUCUGGACGGAGAGGAAGCACCUCGGUUUGGCCCGUUUACUUACUGGAGUGUUGUCCACAAACAGCAGCACCAUGAGGUUCACAGUGUCCUGAAAGACGGAGAGAAGCGACACCAGCUCCCAUUUAACUCGUUACAUCACGCGCAGCAGAGAAGAACAUCAAGCCUCUUGUGUGAUAUGAGCUCCAUUGGACAAAAGUAUCUUUUAAAUGACCCCGUUUCUACAGUCCUUCCGUUCUCGUUUGAAUGUGUUCUUCUGUCUCUCAAGGUGCAGUACGAGUUGCUCUACUUACGGGGUCGGCCAUGAAGUCCAUGGUGGGCAGCAUGACCGAUCCGGCCAUCACCUCCCGCAGCAGCAGGGCCAGAGACCUGAGCAGAGGGACCACAAGCGUUUGUCUCAUUACCACCCAAUAGUAUGGAUUAUAAUAAACAAAAAACAACAGUUAUCCCAGACGUUUGUGGGACUUUCCUUCUGUUUUGUGCAGGAACGUUGGAGAAUAGAAUUGUAUCUUACAUUAGUAAACAAAAGCCACGAUUUCUGCAACAAAAUGGACCUUUAUGUUGUUUUUGCUCUGGGUUGCUGCUAAAAUGCAUUGCGUUUGUGCUGAUGUGAACCAGACUACAUCCUGGACGGCUCCUCGGGUUCUCGCCGCCCACCUGCAGUCCGUCGCUUUGGGCGGCAUGACAAAGGGAAACAGCAUCUCCGUCAGCUUCCUCAGGUACAGCAGCUCGUCCCUGCGGCUGCGCAGCGCCAUGUGGAGGUCGGCGCCGUAUUCGUCCAGAGCCGCCUGCUGAAGGCCCCCCGAGUCCUUCACUGCCGACACACACAGGUCCACCGACCGGAGAAGAUAUCUACUAUGUGUCUUCAUCUACCCGAGUGUGAAUAAAGCCACACAGCGACGGCUCAGACACAAGAAGGCCCUCGGAUGUUAAUGCUGAACAAGGAACUGAUGACAUCACCAGUUUAAAGCCUAUCGACUGCUUUGAUGAGCUACUUCUCCUUAAAUGAGCAUCAAUGAAUGAAAGAAUAUUUAACAUCUAAAGUCAACGACUGCAGACGGUAACAAUGUUCGCACCUUUUCCUCGAGCUUUUGCAAUAAUUUCAAUGUGCUUCAUGGCGGCUUUCAUCACUUUGUCUGCAAACACGACGGGAACGUCGACCUGCAGAAAUACGCGCAGCAGCAUUAAUGGAAGACGGAUCGCAGGACGCAGAGCACUCGCUCUCAUGUCGGUCUGAUGAAUGAAAGAAAGCAAGCAGCUUAGUAGUGGACGAACCUUCUGAGCCCGGCGGACGAGCACCGAGGCGAAGAAGCGAAAGGUCAUCCUGAGUUCAUCCACGCACGCCUCGUCGUCCGUGAUGUCCCUGAGGACCAGAGGAGGAAGUUCAGAGCAACGUCUGCGUGGUGCAGCUGCAGAAUUAAAACAUUCUCUCACCUGUACCACGGGUACACAAAGUUCUCCAGGACCAACUCAAACACCUGCAGGUCGGGUUCACACACGCACGGAAGUAACGGUCAGAAAAUGGGCCGUAGAAUGUCUGAUAGGGAAGAUGUGAUUUAGGGAUAGAGGUACCUCUGCUACAGACGCGUCCACCUUUGAAGGAACCUUCAGGUCGAGCCACGGCUGAUAGUUUUCAAGGAGCAGCGUCGGCCUGAAAAAAAGAAAGCAGCGCGUUCAGCACUUCGAAGACGGGUGACGUACCGGUGGCGGCUGCACUUCACCUUCCCGCAGACGGCACAGCUGCGGCCCAGAGGAAACAGCGCCUGCUCCCGUCGCGUCUGCCGGAGGGAAAACAACGAGCUGCACUUAAGUCCCGAAGCGGAGUUCAUCAGCUCAACGAGUCCCAGGCGGUCACAUCACAUUAGUGGUGUCAUUAUUGAUCCCUUCUGCUAAUGAUCUGGUUACCUUCCGAACACUAAACUCUGAGCACAUUAUUAGACCGCAUUAAAACUAUAAUGAUGACGUUUGUUUGAAUUAAUAUAAUCUUUUAUUUACCUGGAAGUAUACAAUGGAAGACAUUUAAUAUUCUUAAUGUUUUACUGUCUUCAGGGAGGUUACAGAUGUAGUUCUGUAGACCAGCUGUUAUCUAACAACAAAGAGAUCUGGAUCUGCUAACAAGGAUUAUCAAUGAUCAAUAAUUCCGAUCAGAUGCAGAAAGAAUAUUUUCUUGUGAUCGUUUCCGCAGCAACCCACACUUACUUUGCUGCGGGGCUUGACGGAGAAGAGGACGUUGGGGAGGAGGGACUCGGGGCCGAAGGAGCAGUAGAAGGUUGUGACUCCGGCCAGGAAGGACCAGAACACCAUCAGGAUGUGGAUGUACCUGAGGCAUCACAAACUGCCGUUUUACUCAUCAAGAAGAGGAAGAAACGGCAAAAUGGAGAAAGACCGCCGACUUGGAGACGUCUUCAAAUGUUUUAAAUGUGUCUGAAAAGUACUCCGAUUUUUACUUUGCAAAUUUUGGCUUGAAAUGCAACAGGAUUAUAUUUCUACUUUAACUUUCAUCUGUAAUUUACAGAUUAUUUAAAUUAUGAAGUGAUCAGAUUAAGAUUUAACAUAUUUGGCCUACUUCUUAUAUUAUUGGUCUAAUUAAUUUAACAGUAGUCAAUAUAUCCACUCAUCGUGCGAUUGUUUCUGUAAAGUUGUAAAGCUCUUUGAGGAACUUCACUCAAUGGUUUAUACAGGAGAGCUCUGACUGAACACUACCUCUCCCAGUAUGACUCUCCCAGUACGGCUGGUUCCACUACCUGUUGAGCAGCACAGUCAUCGACACCAUGGUGAGCAGCACAAAGCAGAAGACUGGAUACUGACGUCCGGCUUCCCUCAUGACGUCAAUCUUCAGUCCUCGCGUCACGUGACCCACACACGCUAAAAGCCCCGCCAUCCUCUCCAGAGGACCUGUUGACAGCUAAUGCAGUACAUUAAAACCUCGAAACUUUUAACGUAGUUUAAUAACGACCAACAGUCGUCGGUUUCAACCAGCAGCACCGUAAUAAAGUGAGGUUAAACGGUAAAAACGUGAUUUUAAAUGUUCUCGGACAUAACUUGCUAGCUUAGCUAUCUUAGCUAACAGCUAAAUUGGUUAGCUGAACUGACACCAGCGUCCACGGUUCGUUUUCUAAAAUACUUACAGCGACACUAUCGCAGCCGCUCUUCAUGUAAAACACCUUCUAUCCAUCGGCAUAGGCUUCGGCUGAUAGCCAGUGACAUGUCAAAAAGUUCCUAAAGUUAUUAAUUGAGGUUUUCCCAUUUUAUUUGAAAGUCCCGACCUACUUCCCUGAGGUGGAAUGUUUUCUAAUCGGCCGGAAGGUUGCCAGAUGUCAUUAAACCGCAAUUUAUUUUUUAA